RNAcentral lists this unclassified non-coding RNA (214 nucleotides) under rhizosphere metagenome. RNAcentral describes it as "partial ribosomal RNA internal transcribed spacer region". The record is from RNAcentral.
GUAGGUGAACCUGCGGAAGGAUCAUUACUGAGAACUUGCCCUUAGGGGUAGAUCUCCCACCCUAUGUUUACAUACUUUGUUGCUUUGGCAGGCCUGCCUCUGUGCUACUGGCCUUGGCUAGUUAGUGCCUGCCAGAGAAUCAAAACCCUGAAUCACAUAAUGUCAGAGUACUAUAUAAUAGUUAAAACUUUCAACAACGGAUCUCUUGGUUCUG